UUACACAUGCAAGUCGAGCGGAGANGAGGNGCUUGCACCUUAUCUUAGCGGCGGACGGGUGAGUAAUGCUUAGGAAUCUGCCUAUUAGUGGGGGACAACAUUCCGAAAGGAAUGCUAAUACCGCAUACGUCCUACGGGAGAAAGCAGGGGAUCUUCGGACCUUGCGCUAAUAGAUGAGCCUAAGUCGGAUUAGCUAGUUGGUGGGGUAAAGGCCUACCAAGGCGACGAUCUGUAGCGGGUCUGAGAGGAUGAUCCGCCACACUGGGACUGAGACACGGCCCAGACUCCUACGGGAGGCAGCAGUGGGGAAUAUUGGACAAUGGGGGGAACCCUGAUCCAGCCAUGCCGCGUGUGUGAAGAAGGCCUUAUGGUUGUAAAGCACUUUAAGCGAGGAGGAGGCUACUGAGACUAAUACUCUUGGAUAGUGGACGUUACUCGCAGAAUAAGCACCGGCUAACUCUGUGCCAGCAGCCGCGGUAAUACAGAGGGUGCGAGCGUUAAUCGGAUUUACUGGGCGUAAAGCGUGCGUAGGCGGCUUUUUAAGUCGGAUGUGAAAUCCNCCGAGCUUAACUUGGGAAUUGCAUUCGAUACUGGGAAGCUAGAGUAUGGGAGAGGAUGGUAGAAUUCCAGGUGUAGCGGUGAAAUGCGUAGAGAUCUGGAGGAAUACCGAUGGCGAAGGCAG
RNAcentral lists this ribosomal RNA (682 nucleotides) under uncultured Acinetobacter sp. RNAcentral describes it as "bacterial SSU rRNA". It matches the Rfam family "Bacterial small subunit ribosomal RNA", at positions 49 to 724 of the family's 1533-position model. The record is from RNAcentral. Lineage: Bacteria; Pseudomonadati; Pseudomonadota; Gammaproteobacteria; Moraxellales; Moraxellaceae.